CGAAACUGAGCUGUACCAAGAUGCUGAUGAGGGGCUGCAGCAUGCAAUUCACUUCACCAGCAGUCAAUAAGAGGAAAGGCCAUGUGAAGAUAGAGAAAAGGCUGCCAUCUCCAGGUCAGGAAGAGAGGCCUCACCAGAAACCAACUUGGACUUCUAGCAUCUAGAACUGUGAGAAAAUAGAUUUCUGUUGCUUAAGCCACCUAGUCUGUGAUUUUUCAUUAUGGCAGCCAAUGUAGACUAAUACAA
RNAcentral lists this long non-coding RNA (246 nucleotides) under Pan troglodytes (chimpanzee). RNAcentral's name for it is "long non-coding RNA NONPTRT002293". The record is from RNAcentral. Lineage: Eukaryota; Metazoa; Chordata; Mammalia; Primates; Hominidae.